GCUGAUCAGACCGAAGAUGGUGAUGGCCAACAUCGGCAUCUACAGAGAGAUGCGCUGGUUCUCACCCUGGAACCAGUUAAGGCGUGUGGAGGAGUAUUUCCUGCCCAGAUUGAUCCAGGAGGUGACAGGACAGGACACCGUCCCGUUUGGUGACUGUGUUUUGUCCACGAAGGACACCUGCAUCGGCACGGAGACGUGUCAGGAGCUGUGGAGCCCCAGAAG
Plectropomus leopardus (leopard coralgrouper) is the source of this 222-nucleotide non-coding RNA. NCBI's taxonomy places the organism in Eukaryota, Metazoa, Chordata, Actinopteri, Perciformes, Serranidae. The record is from RefSeq and is a predicted model, not a curated record.